CAGUCGCCGCGGUAACACGUAGGUGGCAAGCGUUGUCCGGAAUUAUUGGGCGUAAAGGGCUCGCAGGCGGUUUCUUAAGUCUGAUGUGAAAGCCCCCGGCUCAACCGGGGAGGGUCAUUGGAAACUGGGAAACUUGAGUGCAGAAGAGGAGAGUGGAAUUCCACGUGUAGCGGUGAAAUGCGUAGAGAUGUGGAGGAACACCAGUGGCGAAGGCGACUCUCUGGUCUGUAACUGACGCUGAGGAGCGAAAGCGUGGGGAGCGAACAGGAUUAGAUACCCCUGUAGUCCUUGUCUCUUAUAC
This 301-nucleotide ribosomal RNA is filed under the name uncultured bacterium. RNAcentral's name for it is "partial 16S ribosomal RNA". It matches the Rfam family "Bacterial small subunit ribosomal RNA", at positions 509 to 807 of the family's 1533-position model. The record is from RNAcentral.